ACGCUUGGCGGCGUGCCUAAUACAUGCAAGUAGAACGCUGAAGAGAGGAGCUUGCUCUUCUUGGAUGAGUUGCGAACGGGUGAGUAACGCGUAGGUAACCUGCCUUGUAGCGGGGGAUAACUAUUGGAAACGAUAGCUAAUACCGCAUAACAAUGGAUGACACAUGUCAUUUAUUUGAAAGGGGCAAUUGUUCCACUACAAGAUGGACCUGCGUUGUAUUAGCUAGUAGGUGAGGUAAUGGCUCACCUAGGCGACGAUACAUAGCCGACCUGAGAGGGUGAUCGGCCACACUGGGACUGAGACACGGCCCAGACUCCUACGGGAGGCAGCAGUAGGGAAUCUUCGGCAAUGGGGGCAACCCUGACCGAGCAACGCCGCGUGAGUGAAGAAGGUUUUCGGAUCGUAAAGCUCUGUUGUAAGUCAAGAACGGGUGUGAGAGUGGAAAGUUCACACUGUGACGGUAGCUUACCAGAAAGGGACGGCUAACUACGUGCCAGCAGCCGCGGUAAUACGUAGGUCCCGAGCGUUGUCCGGAUUUAUUGGGCGUAAAGCGAGCGCAGGCGGUUUGAUAAGUCUGAAGUUAAAGGCUGUGGCUCAACCAUAGUUCGCUUUGGAAACUGUCAAACUUGAGUGCAGAAGGGGAGAGUGGAAUUCCAUGUGUAGCGGUGAAAUGCGUAGAUAUAUGGAGGAACACCGGUGGCGAAAGCGGCUCUCUGGUCUGUAACUGACGCUGAGGCUCGAAAGCGUGGGGAGCGAACAGGAUUAGAUACCCUGGUAGUCCACGCCGUAAACGAUGAGUGCUAGGUGUUGGAUCCUUUCCGGGAUUCAGUGCCGCAGCUAACGCAUUAAGCACUCCGCCUGGGGAGUACGACCGCAAGGUUGAAACUCAAAGGAAUUGACGGGGGCCCGCACAAGCGGUGGAGCAUGUGGUUUAAUUCGAAGCAACGCGAAGAACCUUACCAGGUCUUGACAUCCCGAUGCUAUUUCUAGAGAUAGAAAGUUACUUCGGUACAUCGGUGACAGGUGGUGCAUGGUUGUCGUCAGCUCGUGUCGUGAGAUGUUGGGUUAAGUCCCGCAACGAGCGCAACCCCUAUUGUUAGUUGCCAUCAUUCAGUUGGGCACUCUAGCGAGACUGCCGGUAAUAAACCGGAGGAAGGUGGGGAUGACGUCAAAUCAUCAUGCCCCUUAUGACCUGGGCUACACACGUGCUACAAUGGUUGGUACAACGAGUUGCGAGUCGGUGACGGCGAGCUAAUCUCUUAAAGCCAAUCUCAGUUCGGAUUGUAGGCUGCAACUCGCCUACAUGAAGUCGGAAUCGCUAGUAAUCGCGGAUCAGCACGCCGCGGUGAAUACGUUCCCGGGCCUUGUAUUACACCGCCCGUCACACCACGAGAGUUUGUAACACCCGAAGUCGGUGAGGUAACCUUUUGGAGCCAGCCGCCUAAGGUGGGACAGAUGA
RNAcentral lists this ribosomal RNA (1459 nucleotides) under Streptococcus thermophilus. Its description in RNAcentral is "bacterial SSU rRNA". It matches the Rfam family "Bacterial small subunit ribosomal RNA". Lineage: Bacteria; Bacillati; Bacillota; Bacilli; Lactobacillales; Streptococcaceae. The record is from RNAcentral.